AUAGCGUAUAUUAAAGUUGUUGCAGUUAAAAAGCUCGUAGUUGAACUUCAGACCUGGCUGGACGGUCUGCUUAACGGCAUGUACUGUCUGGGCGGGUCUUACCUCUUGGUGAGCCGGCGUGCCCUUCAUUGGUGUGCGUUGGGGAACCAGGACUUUUACCUUGAGAAAAUUAGAGUGUUCAAAGCAGGCCUAUGCCCGAAUACAUUAGCAUGGAAUAAUAAAAUAGGACGCGCGGUUCUAUUUUGUUGGUUUCUAGAGUCGCCGUAAUGAUUAAUAGGGAUAGUUGGGGGCAUUAGUAUUCAGUUGCUAGAGGUGAAAUUCUUGGAUUUACUGAAGACUAACUACUG
This 347-nucleotide ribosomal RNA is filed under the name uncultured eukaryote. RNAcentral's name for it is "SSU rRNA". It matches the Rfam family "Eukaryotic small subunit ribosomal RNA", at positions 594 to 945 of the family's 1831-position model. The record is from RNAcentral.